GAGGGUAUAGCUCAGUGGUAGAGCACAUGCUUAGCAUGCACAAGGUCCUGGGUUCAAUCCCCAGUACAUCCA
This 72-nucleotide transfer RNA is filed under the name Camelus bactrianus (Bactrian camel). It matches the Rfam family "tRNA". From Rfam's summary of the family: Transfer RNA (tRNA) molecules are approximately 80 nucleotides in length. Their secondary structure includes four short double-helical elements and three loops (D, anti-codon, and T loops). The record is from Rfam by way of RNAcentral. RNAcentral also lists the same sequence under 2 other names. Lineage: Eukaryota; Metazoa; Chordata; Mammalia; Artiodactyla; Camelidae.